Long non-coding RNA from Phalaenopsis equestris, 1316 nucleotides. RefSeq lists it as uncharacterized. The transcript has 4 exons. Lineage: Eukaryota; Viridiplantae; Streptophyta; Magnoliopsida; Asparagales; Orchidaceae. The record is from RefSeq and is a predicted model, not a curated record.
GAAUCCUAAUAACCUCAUAAAACCUUCAGGAAAAAGAUGCACUGAGAUAAUAGAUCGGGAUCAACGGCGUCUGCGACCUCUUCAUUCAUUUCUAACAGUCUCUUUGUUCCCUUUUCUGCAAUAGCGAACGUGGUGGACGGUUGUUUGAAUUUUUAGGGUUUGGAUGAUGCCUUCUGGCGGAGGACAACGACUGAAGCGGCCAGGCGCAGUUGCAGCCAACAUUUCCCGAGUCAUCUUUUUCUCCGCAUCAGAUUUAGGACUUUUCUAUGUGAUGCGGUUAGAAGGCCAAAAACUUCGAAAAUCCAAGAAAAAAAGGGGAUGCAUCUACUUCACUUAUUCCUUGGCCAUAAUGAACUAAUCCUAAUAACUCUAUGUGGAACUUUGAGGGAGACCUAGGUUAACAGAAGUGUAGAAGCUCAUGAGACCGUCGCUAAUGCAUUUGUUCAUGCUGUAAAAUAUAAUUUCAUUGAAGCUUUGGAGUCUAGACUGGGCACUCUAGUGGAUUUUGUCAUUCAAAUAGCUCAGGUAAUAUUUUGUGUGCUCGCGCCGCGUCCCUCCUCCCACACAGCCAUUUAUCCUCUCUGCUAGCGGCACUUUCUUUCUCCCUGCUGUGCACGAGCUCCUGGCCAGACAACUAAAAUGCAACGAAAUUCAUAUAAUGCGGGGUCCGCACCUAAGAAUUUUCCAGCAGCCUCGUCCACCUGCUGGCAACUCAACCCGUAGCACCUUUCUACUAACGCAGCCGCAGCAGCUCUCGUUCUAACCUGCGAUCAGCGAAGCUUUCCAUCUCCCGCCGCAGCAGCCCCCACAAGGAAGCUUCCCUUUGUCCGGCAUCCUUCGCCAGGGGGCACAUGCUGCAGGUCUCCCUUUGUCGCUGUUGGUGUGCUUCCCUGUUCACUAAAUCUCACCAUAACUCAGAUUUAAGUGUUCUGAUUUUGAGAUUUCUACUUCUGGUGAAGGGGAGAGGAGUUUCACUCCAAAUAUUACAGAUGGGACAGUAUCCGAUGAACGUUGGAAAGAAAAUUUUAUAUGUAGAUAAGAAAUGUGUAGUUAAGAAUGAAUUUGGUGGUAUUUGAUAGUAUUGUGAUGUUAUUGUGAAAAUAUCAUCACAAUACCACCAAUCCGCACGUGCCGAUUCAAUAUACGCUCAUUUUAAAGGGAGAGAUGGCAACCACGAAACCUCAUCACGAAGAGAUGAACAAUAGAUAGUCUGAGAGAAGAGAAAAUAUUAUGUCUGACAAAUUUGAUGGUGAUCCGAAUGCUGUCGUAUUUAAGUCUAAAGAGGAGAGCUGAAAAUUAUUAAAUUGGUAGGGAGA